UUAAUACUGGAUAGAUCAAAGAAACUGGAAUGUUCUCUGGUUUAAAACUCCGGUGCCCAAGGAUGGGUCUGCGGCCUAUCAGGUAGUAGUGGGUGUAACGUACCUACUAGCCAGCGACGGGCAAGGGUUGUGAGAGCAAGAUCCCUGAGAUGGAUUCUGAGACAUGAAUCCAGGCCCUACGGGGUGCAGCAGGCGCGAAAACUUUACACUGCGGGAAACCGCGAUAAGGGGACCCCGAGUGCCAGCACCUAGUGCUGGCUGUCCAGUUGUCUAAAUAACAGCUGUUAGCAAGGGCCGGGCAAGACCGGUGCCAGCCGCCGCGGUAACACCGGCGGCCCGAGUGGUAACCGUUUUUAUUGGGUUUAAAGGGUCCGUAGCCGGCUUAUUAAGUCUCUUGGGAAAUCUGGCGGCUCAAUCGUCAGGCGUUCA
RNAcentral lists this ribosomal RNA (429 nucleotides) under uncultured archaeon. Its description in RNAcentral is "bacterial SSU rRNA". It matches the Rfam family "Archaeal small subunit ribosomal RNA", at positions 146 to 576 of the family's 1478-position model. The record is from RNAcentral.